CAUUUCGAGUAACCAAAAAUCCGCAUGAUAGAACCGGUGGAUACUACCAGCCUAAGUAGGAAGUAAAUACCCAUGCAAUAUACCGAAGAACACAAUAUACCAAUAAACACCCAAUAUACAGAAGAACCACUUUAGGCUAAAAACUAUAGAAAGAAUGUUCAGUAAGGGCAUAAGGACAGAUAUAAAUCCAUAACUACUUAUUUUUAAUACUUGCAAAUGCAGAAACAUGAGCUGUUGUUUGGUAAUGAACGAGAACAUGUUUAAUCAAAUUCGGAGGUUUUUAUAGUUCAGUAUUAGUUCAGUAUAGCAAUUAUUAGUUCAGUAUUGUCAACAAGGUUGCGAUAAUAAUGUACGCAUACUGGUAUUUCUCUGUUUCCGAGCAAUUAAGUACGCGGUAUAUUCAGAAUAUUCAGGUAAAAUAAAGUUAAAAUUUUGACAUAUUUAGAUAAGAAAGUCGUUAUUAAAUCACUUGAAAGAAUCUGAUCAUGCAUCAAACAUCCACACAACAAAAUUAGUGUGUACCAUAUAUGGUCAAUUUGGACGCAAUUCAUUUCCAAAUUCCCUUCAGAAAACGCCAGUUAUGCGGUAUUUUAUGCAGUCCCUGGGCUUCAAAGAUGCAAAAUCUUUCAGUGGGAAGACCGUCAGACGACCCUUUUCUUCAAUUAGAAUUUUUUAACAUCGAAGCCCGCCAACUUCCUC
Non-coding RNA from Paramuricea clavata, 699 nucleotides. NCBI's taxonomy places the organism in Eukaryota, Metazoa, Cnidaria, Anthozoa, Malacalcyonacea, Plexauridae. The record is from the annotation of a GenBank genome assembly.